UACAGGGGUGGCAAGCGUUGUCCGGAAUUACUGGGUGUAAAGGGUGCGUAGGCGGGUCGGUAAGUCAGUGGUCAAAUCCUAUAGCUUAACUAUAGACUAUCCAUUGAUACUGCUGAUCUUGAGUGCGAGAGAGAUGAGUGGAAUUCCAAGUGUAGCGGUGAAAUGCGUAGAGAUUUGGAAGAACACAAGUAGCGAAGGCGGCUCAUUAGCUCGUAACUGACGCUGAGGCACGAAAGCAUGGGUAGCAAACAGG
Molecule: ribosomal RNA, 253 nt
Filed under: uncultured bacterium
Lineage: Bacteria
Description: partial 16S ribosomal RNA
Rfam family: Bacterial small subunit ribosomal RNA
Source: RNAcentral